GCGGGAUGACAAAUCUCCCGGGCGUGUGUCUGUCCCGUCCUUCCAGACAGCGCUGCGUCCCCAUCUCGGCGGCGGACCGGCCGGCGAGGAGCUGUAAUGUCUUGGAGGAUCCUUGCUGCCAAGAUGCGGAGUUACCAGAGGAAGUGAUCAGGUUGGAUAGCAUAAGGGAAGAGGAAAGAGAGAUGGGACAUUCUCUGAGACUCAGCAGCUUGAAAAGCCACCAACCUCACCUGCAGUUGAGAAAUUGGCAGUGUUCACCCCUAAUAUGAAGGUAGUCCUGUAAGGCAUCAGAACCACAGAGAGAAGAGGCCAAAAGCCAGAGAAGCAUCACUGAAACAGGAUUAAGAAAUACAGUAUCUGAAAAAAUUAGGAGCCUACAGAAACAGAAAUAUUAAUAUCUGCCUCAAGAUCCCACAGGACAUGACUGGCAAGAAAAAGUAAUACAGAUUAUGGAUGUAUGAGAUGUGAGCUUCAGCAAGAGGGAGAUGCACUGGAGCCAUAGGACCUUUCUGUCUCACACUCCUGGGGCUCAGGGAGCACCUAAGGGGCUCACUACACAUCCCAGAGCUGACACACUGUGGGUGCAGAGAAAACUUGGGCACUUCUGCUCUCCUGCCUUGCUUUCCUCAUUUGCCUUUGAAUGCAGUAGUCAAGUGAAUAGUAAAGUUCAGGAGCCUGAUUUCUCAUCACAAAACUAUUCCAUCUGUCAGGCAGGAAAGGUGUGUGGGCUACUGCCUUGUGAAUGCAUUGUCCUCUGCUGGCAAAGAAAUGGGACCACGCUGGAGCAAGCAACAUUUCCUAUGAAAGUCUCUGUCAGAAAUGCUUGGAAGAAAAGCAUCUGCUGAAUGGUCUGCCAGAGGACAACUCUAAGCUGAGGUCUCAGCAUCCUUACAGUAAAAAAGUGUUUCCUCAUGUCCAGAGAGAACCUCCUGUAUUUCUGUAUGUGAAAGAAGCACAAAUACGGAGUCUGGCUAGUGGUGCCAACUGUUUUUUGCAGGAGUACCAAAAGGCACCCAACAGCACUGACACCCUGUUACUGUGUGUGUUUCCUUUGUUUUCCGGAGAAAAUAUGCUUGACAGAGGGAGGAACAAGCUGUCCACAGCUGUCCCAACAACUCUAAUACCAGGAAGCAGGCCCAGACAUUGGGCUGCCUGCCUGUUGCAGGCUUCAGAGACAAAAUGGGGAAUAGUCAUGACACUAGGCCUGCCAUGAAGCACGAAUGCAUUGAGUAAAAAGCACACUAAUUUCACGACUAUAGGGCACACCAGAUUAUAAGACGCACCUCCGGGAGUCAGCAAAUUUCACAACUUUGUACAUUAUAUA
Long non-coding RNA from Catharus ustulatus (Swainson's thrush), 1324 nucleotides. RefSeq lists it as uncharacterized. The record is from RefSeq and is a predicted model, not a curated record. Lineage: Eukaryota; Metazoa; Chordata; Aves; Passeriformes; Turdidae. The transcript is spliced from 3 exons.